CAUGGAAAUAAAUGAAAACACUAAAAAUAAGGGUUGAACGACUUUUUCAUCCACAUCUUGAGAAGUUAUUCACCUUAAUGUUUUUAUCUACACAUUGACACAAAUCUCUACUUUAUAACUAAUGUUCUGCUCUCCAUCUACACUGGACCAGGCAUAGGAGCAAAAGGCAUCUCAGGUUAAGCGCUUCUCGGGUUGUUCUUAAGCAGCUGGGGACUUCAGGGACCCAACAGUAGGAAGGAGCAAAAGGCUUCUGUUUGUUUUUCCAAAGCUUCAUCUAGGGACCUUUCUGAAGACCUCCUUAACCCUGAAACUUGAGCAAUGCCAAGAGAGUAGUCUCUCCAUAACUUUUCACAGCCUGCCAGCUUGCUAAAAUGUUCCUGGGCAUUUUAAAUUGAAAGUGGAGGCAUGGGGCUGGAGAGAUGGGCCAGCAGUUGGUCAAUAAGAGCACUUGGUGUUCUGGCUGAGGACUGGGGUUUGGUUGCCAGCAGCAGCCACAUCAAAUAGCUCCCAACCAUCUGUAAUUUGCAGUUCCAGGGGAUCUGAUGCCCCUGUGUUCUUUGUGAGCACUGCAUACACUGGAUAUGUAUAUGCCCUAAACAUUCAGGCUGGCCUCGAACUCACAGAGAUCUGCCUGCCUCUUCAUCUCAAGUGCUGGGAUUAAAGGCGUGCACCAUCACGUCCAGCUAUAAAAUCUUUUUUUUUUUUUUUUUACAGAAAGAAAUGGAGGGUGAGUUGACCACUGAACCCCUAACUUAACACACCCUGGCCUUAUAUUUUCUGUUUAGCUGUUCAGAUUGUACAUAGUGGAGUUUUGUUUGGUUGUUUGUUUUCUACAGAUGAAACAAAGCAAACAAAUCCCGAAGCCACAUGAAGAAUCCUUUGAUGUUCAGCACCCCCUGCUUUGCCACUUGGACUGCUUUGCAUUGAGUAGUAGUCACUCUAGAGUCGGGUUCUCUCUCUCUCUCUCUCUCUCUCUCUCUCUCUCUCUCUCUCUGUGUGUGUGUGUGUGUGUGUGUCUGUCUGUCUGUCUGUCUCUGUGUGUGUGUGUGUCUGUCUCUCUGUCUCUGUGUGUGUGUGUGUGUGUGUGUGUGCCUCUGUCUGUCUGUCUGUCUCUGUCUCUGUUUCUCUCUUUCUCUGUCUCUCUCUUUUUUAAGCAAAGUCUUACCAGGCUGGCCUCAAAUUGGACAUGUAGCUAAG
This 1197-nucleotide long non-coding RNA is filed under the name Cricetulus griseus (Chinese hamster). Its description in RNAcentral is "lncRNA (ENSCGRG00015042415.1)". Lineage: Eukaryota; Metazoa; Chordata; Mammalia; Rodentia; Cricetidae. The record is from RNAcentral.